CAGCCGCCGCGGGAAUACGAAGGGUGCAAGCGUUACUCGGAAUUACUGGGCGUAAAGCGUGCGUAGGUGGUGGUUUAAGUCCGUUGUGAAAGCCCUGGGCUCAACCUGGGAAUUGCAGUGGAUACUGGGUCACUAGAGUGUGGUAGAGGAUAGUGGAAUUUCCGGUGUAGCAGUGAAAUGCGUAGAGAUCGGGAGGAACAUCAGUGGCGAAGGCGGCCAUCUGGGACAACACUGACGCUGAGGCACGAAAGCGUGGGGAGCAAACAGGAUUAGAUACCCCCGUAGUCCCUGUCUCUUAUAC
This 301-nucleotide ribosomal RNA is filed under the name uncultured bacterium. RNAcentral's name for it is "partial 16S ribosomal RNA". It matches the Rfam family "Bacterial small subunit ribosomal RNA", at positions 509 to 807 of the family's 1533-position model. The record is from RNAcentral.